ACCUGCGGAAGGAUCAUUACCGAGUGUAGGGUUCCUAGCGAGCCCAACCUCCCACCCGUGUUUACUGUACCUUAGUUGCUUCGGCGGGCCCGCCAUUCAUGGCCGCCGGGGGCUCUCAGCCCCGGGCCCGCGCCCGCCGGAGACACCACGAACUCUGUCUGAUCUAGUGAAGUCUGAGUUGAUUGUAUCGCAAUCAGUUAAAACUUUCAACAAUGGAUCUCUUGGUUCCGGCAUCGAUGAAGAACGCAGCGAAAUGCGAUAACUAGUGUGAAUUGCAGAAUUCCGUGAAUCAUCGAGUCUUUGAACGCACAUUGCGCCCCCUGGUAUUCCGGGGGGCAUGCCUGUCCGAGCGUCAUUGCUGCCCAUCAAGCACGGCUUGUGUGUUGGGUCGUCGUCCCCUCUCCGGGGGGGACGGGCCCCAAAGGCAGCGGCGGCACCGCGUCCGAUCCUCGAGCGUAUGGGGCUUUGUCACCCGCUCUGUAGGCCCGGCCGGCGCUUGCCGAACGCAAAUCAAUCUUUUUCCAGGUUGACCUCGGAUCAGGUAGGGAUACCCGCUGAACUUAAGCAUAUCA
This 572-nucleotide ribosomal RNA is filed under the name Aspergillus oryzae. RNAcentral's name for it is "eukaryotic LSU rRNA". The stretch from base 202 to 355 matches the Rfam family "5.8S ribosomal RNA". The record is from RNAcentral. Lineage: Eukaryota; Fungi; Ascomycota; Eurotiomycetes; Eurotiales; Aspergillaceae.